AAACUUCAAUUUGGCGACUCCAUAAAAAGCUCUGUUUCACUAAUCUUUCUGUGUUUAUUUUUCUUAUACGUGACACAGAUUUUGGGACAGGGUUUCAUUUCUUACCAAAAAAGAUGGCCUUUUGCAGAGAUUUAACCUGUUUUUUACUCUUCUUGGCCAUUUUAAUGGCGGUUUCACCACCUUUUGUCCAAACUUCUCGUCCCUGUAAGUCUGUCUCUUUCUCUUUUAGUUAUGGUUUCUCUCUCUAAAUGUACAAACUAUUAUAAAAUGGUUCUUCUUCUUUUUUCCCCCUUUAAUUUUUCUCAGGUUUACAAGUAGAGACCAAAAUGGCAGAAAGCAUAGCUACACAGGUGGGUGGGUGGGGGUGUCAGGUGUGUGUGUGUGUAUAUAUAUAUAUAUAUAUAUAUAUAAAUACAAGUAUCAGCCAUUUUCUUGAGUUAAAAAAAACAUCUUUAAUUAUGUUAUAUUUCUUUUAUAUUUUAUUUUUUUUAUCUUGAACAUUGUAUUUUUCGUGGAGGGUUUGAAUUAUUUAUUAUUAAUUUACAUUUUUUUUUUGUGGAAAAAUGAAGGGAUUGAUGGAUAAGUUUGGAAAUGAAGAGUCAGGUUUUGGGACAGAGGAUUCAGCAAGGGAAGUGCCAACUGGAGCAGACCCUCUUCACCAUAAGAGCAAUCCCACAGGUCCUUGAUCAUUUUAGUUUCUUCCAGAGAAUAAGCAUAUAUAUAGAGACAGAGAAAGAUCAUCACUUGUUUAUUAAUUUCAAGAAUAUAUGGUGUCCCUAAUUGAUUGUCAAUUUAGCUAGCUUUGUUCAUAUCUUUAAUCUUUGGGUUCCUUUUUCUUUUUAAUCUUUUUUUUUUGGGUAAAAAUUAAACAGAUGGACUACUUUAUGGGGUUUUCAUUUUAGUGAUUUGUAAUCAAAAUUUGUCUGCAGUAAUUUUAAAGUUAUUGUUUUAUCCUUAUUUUUUUAAAAUUAACUUUUUCUCCUGAAUUUGAAUGUGGGAAAAGUUGAAGGUUGAAGGACAGAUAUAUGCUCCUGCUGGCUAGCUGGGACUUGGGAGGAGACUGGUUUCCUGAAAUUAGUCAUCCCUCAACAGGGUUAUGUUAUUCAAGGGCAUAGAGCUGAUUUAUCCCUACUUUAUUUCAAAAUAAAAGUCCCAAUUUAAGGAUUUGCUUAGUUAAUUGCCAACGUUUGCGACUUUUAGUUGUGGUAUUUGGUGUGUUUGUACUACUUUUUGUGUGGUACUUGCUUUAGUUUCGAAGCUGUGUUUAUGAGUUAAGCAAGUUACAUGAAAUAAGUUAUUUUUAGACAAACAAAAAUUUA
Molecule: long non-coding RNA, 1319 nt
Filed under: Panax ginseng (ginseng)
Lineage: Eukaryota; Viridiplantae; Streptophyta; Magnoliopsida; Apiales; Araliaceae
Description: long non-coding RNA (PGIN_LNC013605)
Source: RNAcentral